Molecule: long non-coding RNA, 313 nt
Filed under: Vulpes vulpes (red fox)
Lineage: Eukaryota; Metazoa; Chordata; Mammalia; Carnivora; Canidae
Description: lncRNA (ENSVVUG00000020812.1)
Source: RNAcentral
CUGAUGGGUGAAGCUGCACAGGAUGGGAAAGACCCUGCUGGUGAUGUGGAUGCUGAGACGUGGCUCAUCUGGGUGGUCUGAGUGGGGUAGAGCCAGCUCUCCUCACCCAGUGACCAGGCAAAUGGACAAAGUUAAGGACAGAAGACACAUCAGCACCACCAGCAGCCCCCCCACUCCUGCCCUGCAGUGGGCAUUCCCUUUGACCUCUGGGACAAGGCACAUACUAGAUGAUCUGGUGAGCUGAGAAGCCUGGAGGGGGUGCGUAACAGGGGAAGGAAGGGACUAUGAAGCCAACUGGCACCGUGGCUAAUUA